This 914-nucleotide ribosomal RNA is filed under the name uncultured archaeon. RNAcentral's name for it is "bacterial SSU rRNA". It matches the Rfam family "Archaeal small subunit ribosomal RNA", at positions 1 to 924 of the family's 1478-position model. The record is from RNAcentral.
UCCGGUUGAUCCCGCCGGAGGUUACUGCUAUCGAGGUUCGACUAAGCCAUGCGAGUCGAAUGUAGCAAUACAUGGCGUACUGCUCAGUAACACGUGGAUAACCUACCCUUGAGAUGGGGAUAAACCCGGGAAACUGGGUAUAAUACCCAAUAGAUCUCGACUGCUGGAAUGCAUCGAGCUCCAAAGCUUUGGCGCUCAAGGAUGGAUCUGCGGCCUAUCAGGUAGUAGUGGGUGUAGCGUACCUACUAGCCUACGACGGGUACGGGUUGUGAGAGCAAGAGCCCGGAGAUGGAUUCUGAGACACGAAUCCAGGCCCUACGGGGUGCAGCAGGCGCGAAAACUUUACAAUGCUGGAAACAGCGAUAAGGGGACCUCGAGUGCCAGGUUACAAAUCUGGCUGUCGUGAUGCCUAAAAAGCAUUGCAUAGCGAGGGCCGGGCAAGACCGGUGCCAGCCGCCGCGGUAACACCGGCGGCUCGAGUGGUAACCGUUAUUAUUGGGUCUAAAGGGUCUGUAGCCGGCCGGAUAAGUCUCUUGGGAAAUCUGGCAGCUUAACUGUCAGGCUUUCAGGAGAUACUGUCUGGCUCGAGGCCGGGAGAGGUGAGAGGUACUUCAGGGGUAGGGGUGAAAUCUUGUAAUCCUUGAAGGACCACCAGUGGCGAAGGCGUCUCACCAGAACGGACCUGACGGCAAGGGACGAAAGCUAGGGGCACGAACCGGAUUAGAUACCCGGGUAGUCCUAGCCGUAAACGAUACUCGCUAGGUGUCGGCAACGGUGCGACCGUUGUCGGUGCCGUAGGGAAGCCGUGAAGCGAGCCACCUGGGAAGUACGGCCGCAAGGCUGAACUUAAAGGAAUUGGCGGGGGAGCACACAACGGGUGGAGCUUGCGGUUUAAUUGGAUUCAACGCCGGAAA